UGAAUCAAUGGGACCUCAUGGUCAUCGGACGGCUGUUAUAUACUUUAAAGAACGAGCUACUCCAAAAAAAUACCCGCGCCUUCCAGGUACUCCUUCCAAGAUGCCCUUGUGAGAAGCGUGUUAUUGUUGGUGUAGACCUUUUGCAACUGCUAAAAUCUGAAAAUCACAACUGAUCUAUAUCAGAGGUCAUCAACUGGAAGAUGUCUUUGUUAGAAGCACAGAGUAAUCGUGCUACCUUACAAUCAUAUCCUCACUCUGCUGUUUUGGGCAACUAAUUAGCUUGUCCUACACUCCUACUCGUCAUAUAUUUAAAACGGAUGGGAGUAGUUUCUAACAGGAUUCAGUAACUCUGCUCAAUCGAAUGAGACUGAAAAGUUUAUUGGUGUUCAUGCAACUGUCAGAACUGGACAUUUUCACGAAGUGCAAUAGGUUGAUGUACCAAUUGUAUGAAUCCUCAGUUCCUUUCAUGACUUGUAUCUUGUGGACGGUUUGGAAUUGGAUAGUUCUUGAAUAAGAAACUAGCAAAUGAGACCUUUAGGAUA
This is a long non-coding RNA of Setaria italica (foxtail millet), 542 nucleotides long. RefSeq lists it as uncharacterized. The transcript is spliced from 2 exons. The record is from RefSeq and is a predicted model, not a curated record. NCBI's taxonomy places the organism in Eukaryota, Viridiplantae, Streptophyta, Magnoliopsida, Poales, Poaceae.